UACGUAGGGUGCGAGCGUUAAUCGGAAUUACUGGGCGUAAAGCGUGCGCAGGCGGUUCGUGAUGUCUGAUGUGAAAGCCCCGGGCUCAACCUGGGAAUUGCAUUGGAAACUAGCGGGCUGGAGUGUGGCAGAGGGGGGUGGAAUUCCACGUGUAUCAGUGAAAUGCGUAGAGAUGUGGAGGAACACCGAUGGCGAAGGCAGCCCCCUGGGCUAACACUGACGCUCAUGCACGAAAGCGUGGGGAGCAAACAGG
Molecule: ribosomal RNA, 253 nt
Filed under: uncultured bacterium
Lineage: Bacteria
Description: partial 16S ribosomal RNA
Rfam family: Bacterial small subunit ribosomal RNA
Source: RNAcentral